AAACUUUGCAAUGUGCGAAAGCACGACAAGGUUAAUCCGAGUGUUUUCUGCUAAAGAAAUCUUUUGUUAGUCAUAAUACCACUAAAGAAUAAGGGGUGGGCAAGUUCUGGUGUCAGCCGCCGCGGUAAAACCAGCACCUCAAGUGGUCAGGAUGAUUAUUGGGCCUAAAGCAUCCGUAGCCGGCUUUGUAAGUUUUCGGUUAAAUCUAUAUGCUCAACAUAUAGGCUGCCGGAAAUACUGUAAAGCUAGGGAGUGGGAGAGGUAGACGGUACUCCGUAGGAAGGGGUAAAAUCCUUUGAUCUAUGGAUGACCACCUGUGGCGAAGGCGGUCUACCAGAACACGUCCGACGGUGAGGGAUGAAAGCUGGGGGAGCAAACCGG
RNAcentral lists this ribosomal RNA (381 nucleotides) under uncultured archaeon. RNAcentral describes it as "bacterial SSU rRNA". It matches the Rfam family "Archaeal small subunit ribosomal RNA", at positions 345 to 727 of the family's 1478-position model. The record is from RNAcentral.